UUUUUUUUUUUUUUUUUUUUACGAGCCGCUGGAGUGGGGUUGCGGAGUGGGGGAGGGCGGGGAGGGUGGUGGGCAGCUCACAUUCAGGCAUUCAGGGCCUGAAAGGAACGGCUUAAGGAGCCUGACAGAGGCCCGGGAGCUCCUCCUACUCUUAAGGAGGCUCAGAUAUGGAGCCCUCUGCUCGCAGCACAGAACCAGCGGGCAGGGCUUGGGGGCAGCUGCUUGCAUCCGGCUCGGCCAUGGUCCUUUUUGUUUGGUUCAUUAUACUGUGUGAGUUUUUUUUUCUUGGGGGGGGGCACUUUUAUUAAUUCUCCCUGGUCCCAAUCUGUGCUUUCUACUGGCUUCAGAGUUCAGUUUGUUUUUCGAGUUUCCCAUCUUUGCCGAUCAUCAACGGGGGUGGGUGUGCCGGGACCGGGGGGUGGGGGGUGGGAGGGAACUCAGAAUUUAAUGUGGGACUUUGAAACUUGAAAAAAUAAAAUCCAAAUGCACACAAGAGGCACACGCUUAAUUAGGAGUACUGAUGAGAUAUUUGCAACCCUCCCUCCACCCCUCCACUCCCCCGCAACCCGAUCCCAGUUUACCGAUCUGGCAGGUACGGUCCGGGGGCGAGGCAUCCUUGUCAACUGCAAGACAGAAAUCCAGUAAGGCAAUUUAUUUUUUUUAAGAAUAUAAAUUUCUAACACAGACGGCGAUGAAAAAAACAAUCAUAGUAUUAAACAUCUUUAGGAACGUUGAGCCGCGGUCACAACCUAGAAGAAGGGGACAAACCGGCACCCUCCAAGGCUUCUAUUAAAGUGUAAGUUUCAAUCCCUGGCUCGGUUGAAGAAGGGUAACCGCCCGAGUACUGCAGCCUCUGCAACCCAGGCGCGAGAGUUUGCGAACUACCUUAACUGCGGCGCAACGCAGCCUUCGACCACCAGAGGCACCGGGCGCCUGCGGCCUGUCAAAAACUGGCGCUUUUUUCCUCCCCUUUCCGUGGAGAGACUAUCAACUCCAUCUGUCACAAAAAUUAAGGCUAAAUCUCCUUUCUAGAAGCAAAAAGGAAUGGGGGCCCCAGUGAGCACUGAGUUCGGCUACCCGCCUCUCCCUGGGGGCUCCGUGAAUUUGAAAUGGCAAAAGUCAGAACAGAGCCACGGGAUCUGGUGACACAUCAGGCUACAGCAGCAAAGCCUCCUAUUCCUGCGGAGCCUGCUGCAUUCCUCAGAGGCUCAGGGUCUGCCUUAGGAAGCUGCACCUCUGCAAUCCCCCCAAACAACACUUAAACAAAAUAAACCUUAAAAGAGCCAGGUUGAAAUAAGACAGACCGCAUGGCUCUGACUUGAGUCAUAGAAAACAUGCAAACAACAAUAGCAAUCUCUGUUCAAAAAACAAAAUAGAGAGGAUGCAAUUGUAUGGCCCGUGUAGAACAACCCUUUCCCAGGUUCUGGGUUUGUUUUAUUAUUUAUUUAUGUAUUUAUUUAUUUAUUUAAAGUUGCAGUAUCCAAUUUCUUUAUUUUUUCUAUCUUUUAAAAAAAUUAUCAUUGAUUUACAAUGUUCUGUCAAUUUCUGCUGUACAGCAAAGUGACCCAGUCAUAUUAUCUAUAUAUGUAAUUCUUCUUCUCCUCAUGUUAUUCUCCAUCAAGUAUCAUCAUAAGUGACUAGGUACAGUUCCUGUCCUAUUUAGAAGGAUCUCAUUGCUUAUCCACUCCAAAUGCAAUAGUUUGCAUCUACUAACCCCAACUCCCAGUUUAUCCCACUCUCUUGGUUCUGGGUUUUAUUUAGUUAUUUUUUGGUUAUUUGGAAUGGACCCAUGAGAACAGCCAUUUCCCGGGUUCCGGGUUUGUUUUAUUUUGUUGGUUGGUUGGUUGGCUAUUUAGAAUUGUAGUCUUGGUCCUGCCAAGAGGGCUUGGACAAGUCACACUCCUUCUCAGUGCCUUGGAUCCUUCACAUGGAAGCUUCAAAGCCAGCUUGGAUGCUUGAAAAAACCUUUCAUUUUUAAUGCACUGGGAUUUUUGGCUCAUAAGAACAAAGUCAACAGUCAGCUGCAUCUUGAAGCUAAUGUUUGUUGAGUUUCUUUAGAACAGUGGGUCUCAAACCUUAGUAAGCAUGGGACUCACCUGGUGGCCUUGUUCAAAUCCACACUGCUGGGCCCUCUCCUGGAGUUGCUGAAGCAGUGGGAUGGGGGCAGGGCAAGAAUCUGCAUUUCUAACAUGUUCUUGUGGCUCAGUGGAUUAAGGACCUUGUUUCUUUGGGGAUGUAGGUUCAAUCCCUGGCCUGGCUCAGUGGGUGGAGGAUCCAGCGUUGCCAUAGCUGUGGUAUAGACUGCAGCUGCAGCUCUGAUUCAAUCCCUGGCCCAGGAACUUCCCUAUGCCACAUGUGUGGCCAUAAAGAAAAAAAAAAUAUUCUCACUAUAACAACAAAAGGAUGGUGAUUGUGGGAGGUGAAGAAUGUAUUCAGUAAUCUAAUUGUGGUACACAUGGCACAGUAUAUAUGCUUAGCAAGUUGUCACCUCAUACACUUUAAACUUAUACGAUGUUCUAUGUCCGUUAUAUCUCAAUAAAGCUGGGAAAACAAAUCCCAGCUGGCCCUUUUAGGCACAGCCUCCACCUUAGCCCUUUUCAGUUCCGUCUGAUUUUUCUUCCAUAAUCCACAUCCCACUAGACCCCGAAGUGAGGAACACAGGCUGUUAUUUCUCCCUUGUCCCCACUUCCAAAGCGUUCUCUGCCUUCCUCCUUGGAAAUCUCCAGAUUCCUUGAACAGCGUGCUGUCAGCUAUUCCAAGAGUCACCUACUAGCUUUUCCUCCAGCUACAGCCCUUCUCAACCAGGAUUGCUCCUGGAAAACAAGCAGACAGAAAAUAAGCUGAGUGUCUCUUUCCUCCCUGCUCUCCAGCAUGGUGCAUAACCAGUACUGGAACCCCAAGUCAUCUUCAGGUAGAGCCAUUAAACCUCUAACCUGCCUUCACUGACCAAGCUCACUUUAAUUGUUGCUACAGAAAACUUGCAUGUCUUCCAAGUGUCAUGUAGCCUAAACAAUAAGAUGUUUGCCCAAGUCAUUUUUAAGGAAAACAGCCGUGUCCAGUUUGAGCUCUAACUGGUUAAGACUGGCUUUAUCUUUGAUCAAUAUGACCAUAGACCAGUGACCCACCAACUGAGCAUGCUUGUGUGCCUGCUAAGGAGACCGAUCUCUCUCUCUCUCUUUAUUUUUUUUUUUUUUUCCUUUUUGGAUGCAUUCAUGACGUGGAAUUUCCUGGGCCGGGGAGCAAACCCGAACCACAGCAGCAACCUGAGCCACAGACAGCAGUGACAGUGCUAGAUCCUUAACCCACUGAGCCAUCAGGGAACUCCUAAGAUGACCUCUUGAUAUCAGAGGGCCAAAAACUCCAGCGUCAGAACAUGCUAACAUGCCCUGUCACCUUGUCUCAGUGCUGUCACCUCUCACCUGUUCAGGAUGUUGCUUUGCAGUUACUUCUUCCACUGCUGUGCCCUUGCUCCGGUUUUACUGUAUCAUGCCCAUCCACUUUGUUCUACCUUAAAACAAAACAAAAAACCCCUUCCUAGACCUCAAGUUCCUACUCAGUAACUCUUCCAUUUCAAUGAAAACACCUUGAAAAAUUUGCUUUUACUCUCUUUCUCUGCUCUCUCUUCAGUUCACAAUACUCAGGAUUCAUCUCACCAUUUUUCUCAUCAAGGAUGACCAAAAUCUUGACCUUUCGACUUCACCAUGGGCCAUGACUGAUAACUCUUCUUUUGAAAGUGCUGUUUCAUUUGGCUUCUUGGAUUCACUACGUUUCUGUUACCCAUCAUACUGGCUGGGGUCUCCUUCUCUGUCCAAACUCGCUCCUUAGGUGAUGUCAUUCAGUGCCUAGAUUCUAAAUUAUAUCUCUUGAUUUCACCAUUUCAAUCCUAGUCUUUCUUUGAUUUUCAUGUGUAUGUUAUUCACUUGGUUGCUCAAUGAACCUCACAAACAUAGCUUGUCCCAAGAGCACUGCUGAUUCUGGGCUCCCAAAUCUUCAUUGUUUCCUAGUCUUUCAGUGCUAUACAUUCUCCAAAAUUCAUCUCCAUCGCUUUCCUCCAUCCCUUUAUAUCUGUGCUACUCAGAUCGAGAGGCAGAGUCUAAUUUCUUUUCCAUUCAGUCUUGGGCAGACCUUAGUGACUGACCAAUGAGUUGUAGUGACAGUGACUGACAUUCUGGGGCUUCUUAGUGAGGGCACAAGAGGUCUUGCAACUUCUACCUGGGCUUCUUGGAAUGCUUGCUCGGGAGAAGCCGGUAACCAUGUAAGAAAUCUGAUUACUUUGAGACUGCCAGGCUGUGAGGAAGGCCAGGCUUGCCAUGUGGAGAGGCUACAUGGAGAGAGAAAGAGAUGCCUGGGCGGUUCCCAGCUUUUUCAGCCAUGUGAAUGAGGAAGGCACAAGACAUGCAAGAGAAAAAGCCAUCUUGGAUGACCAGCCCAAUGGAAACUUUCGGUGACUUCAGCUCAGCUGCCAUCUGAUGGAAAGUAUGUGGAAGACACCCCAACCCAGGGCCAGGACUAGGGUGAGAGGAGUGAGAUUCCCAGGUACAAGACUGAAGGAGGAGCUCGCUCAUCUUGAUACUGCAGGGACCUUGAGUACAUCCUGUAGCCUAAACACUUCAUUCACCUCCCCCUCGUUCUGGUCUUUCCCUCAUGAAAGAACAGCACCGCUUAGCCCGGUCAACCCAAAGAAUCAUGAGAAGUAACAAAAAAUAUUGUUUUAAGCCACUAAGUUUUGAGGUGGUUUGUUAUGCACCAAUAGACAAUCAUAUAUACACUUUCCAUCAUAUUCAAUGGCUUGGCUCAAAGGUCUAUCUGGACUCUUCCGUAUUCUUCACAUCCCAUAUCCAAUUGAUGGCCCAUCACAGGCAGUCAAUGAAACAUUCGUUUGGCUGAAUGCAUGGGAAAUCAGAAUUUAUGGCUUGUCUUCUAGAUUAGCCAAUUCAGAACGAGGCUAAACCACUUAUACUGCAGAAAAGGGAACAGAGAUCUUGAGAGGUUAAAGAAUACAGAGUAGUUCUGACAUUUUAAAAAUAGAAAAUGAUGUUCUCGGAGAGUUCAGUGGUUCAGUGAAAGAAUGAAAGAGUCAAGGAUAAGUACCACCUACCUCUUGGUGCCUAAACCGUGUGGCAGAUAGAAAGCCAUAGGAGGCAGGCCCUCUGCCCUUUUGGGGACUUACCAUUAUGUCAGCUGGUCAUGAAAGGAUGUCUGGGAUACCAGCUGAAGGCUUGUCGUAGACACCUGCUCACUUGUUUUAUUUAUUUUUGUUUUUAUAACUAGAGACUAUAAAUACUUGGUAGCAGACCACAAGUGGAAACCAAAUAACAUCUACUCUAGAAGUCUAUGUUCUACCUCGUAUCCUAAAUGUCUACCCCGUUCUUUCUAAAAGUUUUCCCUUGGUCUCUCCAUUGCUUUUUUAAGUGUUUUCUAAUGAUUUUUUUAAAAAUUAAAGUAUAGUUGAUUUACAAUGUUGUGCCAAUUUCUGCCAUACAGCGAAGUGACCCAGUCAUACAUAGAUACAUGUUCUUUUUUCUCAUAUAUCUUCCAUCAUGUUCUAUCCCAAGAGGUUGCAUACAGUCCCCUGUGCUAUUCUUGGGAACAAAAUAGAAGGAUGGGCGCCCCAAAUGGAUGGGAACCCCAUUCAUGCUCAACAAAUGUGGGUCAUUCCCAUAGUUGAAGGUUUGGGGCCUUCUCCUGAACUCAUCUCUCUUUAUAACUCUCUUAAGGACCAUCCCAAGUCUGAUUAGCUCCAUCUAAGAAAAUGUCUCACAUCUAACCUUUCUGUAUUCUCACUGCCCUGUGUUUUGUUUCUAUUUUAUUUUAUUUUAUUUUAAGUUUGCACCAUUGCUAACCCUUAGUUUCCCAACUCUUCCCAACUUUUCCUCUAAAUCAAAGAUUCUUGACAGUGGAAGUGUGUUAGAAUCACUUGGGAGGCUUUUUAAAAAUAAAUGAUGCAUUUUUAAAUAAUUAUACUUGAAUUUUUCCCCGAGGGCCUAGGAGUGUGUAUUUUGGAAAAAAAAAAUACAAAGGCAUAUUUCUGGUUAAAUAAUGCUGCCACUGGUUUGCAGAUGUCAAGAUUUCAUAGAUCAGUUCAUUAAAAAAUUUUUUUGGAUUAUCUUUGAAAAAAGAUACUAACUUCUUAAUUGUGUCACAUGUUAACAAAUUUUCACAAUCCUUACUACCAUCUAUUAACACUAGUGUUUUAUUAAAUAAAGGAGAUUUUGGAGGGAAAGACAGAGAGGAAUAACUGGAGAUUAGAGGCCUUUAAAUUGAAUGCAUUUAGAUUUUUAAAGAACUUAAUACCUCGUCCUGCAUUUUUUCUCACUUCCGCAGAAAGUUACUAUCCAGGGGAAACUGCAGACAGCAUUUUGGAAUCACUACUUUAAAAUAGUCCUCCUCGCUGCUGCUGCUGCGUCUCACUGAAUCACUGUUCCGUUUAAAAACUUACUGUAACUCUUUAGGAGAAAGCCCAAAGUCAUUACUAUCACUGCAAGAUGGAAUAAUUAGGAAAACCCAUUCCAAAUAUUUACCCCCAUCUAUUCCUGCCUGUGCCCUCAAAUACAGACAGGCAUGCAGACACUUACACACACGGACACACAUAUGCACCCAUACAUACACACGCACCCACACACAUGCAUGCACGCAUGCACAAAUGCAGGCACACACACAUGCACAUACACUCACAUGUGCACACAUAUAAGCACCAAUUGGCAUUUCUCUUCUGAGCAUCCAUCAUGGCAUCCCCCUGCUGCCUUUAAUCUGGGACCUUUUGUAUGUUUGUCUCUUUAUCAGAGAAAUGGUUCCCAGCUUGAAGGGAAUAUGGAAGAGGAGCUCCCUGUAGAACCCUUAUUCCCUGGACAUUGCACAUGAUGUCAACAUCAUCAGCCUCUCUGUAUGCACAUACUCUUUGUUACACCAGUCAGUGGCAGACUUCCCAGGCUUCCUCUCGUGUGCCUUUAGCUUUCAGGGUCAAAUGAGUCAGUGGCUGAGUGGCUGAGCUGUUUGGGUACCACCUGCCCAAGUACAGACAGUAUGAUCUGUUUUGUUUGUUUGUUUGUUUGUUUGUUUUGUCUUUUUAGGGCUGCACCUGUGGCAUAUGGAGUUUCCCAGGCUAGGGGUCAAAUCAGAGCUGUAGCCACUGGCCUACCCCACAGCCACGGCAAUGCCAGAUCCAAGCCACAUCUGUGACCUACACCACAGCUCACAGCAACGCCGGAUCCUUAACCCACUGAGCGAGGCCAGGGAUCGAACCUGCGUCCUCAUGGAUGCUAGUCAGAUUCAUUUCCUUUGAGCCAUGACGGGAACUCCAGACACUAUAAUCUUGAGACACACAAUGUUUCAAAAUAAUAGCACUCUAAGACCAAGAGGGAUUUAUCCUAGAGAUCUGAAUGCAGGAAAUGUAGCCAUUUAAUCUACACCAAUAAAGUAAAAGAGAAAAAGAUAUGAUCACAUCAAAUGAUGCUGGAAAGACAUAUAGUAGAAUCAGUAGCCAAUGCUAAUAAAAACCUACCGCAAAGGAGCAAUAGGUAGAAACUAAUUAUAUAAAUCAUACCAACCAGAAACAGCAAAUACUAUCCUCAGUCAUAAACACUAGAACUAUUUGAAUUAAAAUUAGAAAUGACAGGAAUAGUCAAUGUCAAUAUUAUUUAGCAUUUCCUUAGAAGAUUUAACCAAGGUAAUAAGCACAUAAGAUGCAAUGAUAGGCAUAAAAAUGGAAAAAGAACAUAUAAAUAUAUCUCUUGGAGUUCUCAUGGUGGCUCAGCAGUAAUGAACCUGAUUAAUAUUCAUGAGGACUUGGGUUCGAUGCCUGGACCCACGCAGUGGUUUAAGGAUACAGAAUUGCCAUGAGCUGUGGUGCCAUACAGAUGUGGCUCGGAUCUGGUGUUACUGUGGUGGUGGUGUAGGCCAGCAGCUGCAGCUCCGAUUCAACCCCUAGCCUGGGAACUUCCAUAUGCUACAGGUGCAGCCC
RNAcentral lists this long non-coding RNA (7960 nucleotides) under Sus scrofa (pig). RNAcentral describes it as "lncRNA (ENSSSCG00000052781.1)". Lineage: Eukaryota; Metazoa; Chordata; Mammalia; Artiodactyla; Suidae. The record is from RNAcentral.